AUACGUAGGUGGCGAGCGUUGUCCGGAAUUACUGGGCGUAAAGGGUGCGUAGGCGGAUAAUCAAGUCAGAUGUGAAAGUCCAUGGCUUAACUGUGGGAGUGCAUUCGAGACUGAAGAUCUAGAGUGCAGGAGAGGGAAGCGGAAUUCCUAGUGUAGCGGUGAAAUGCGUGGAUAUUAGGAAGAACACCAGUGGCGAAGGCGGCUUUCUGGACUGUAACUGACGCCGAAGCACGAAAGCGUGGGGAGCAUACAGGAUUAGAUACCCUGGUAGUCCACGCCGUAAACGAUGAGUAUGAGGUGUAGGGGACGAUAGUCUUCUGUGCCGGAGCAAACGCAAUAAAUACUCCGCCUGGGGAGUACGGUCACAAGACUAAA
RNAcentral lists this ribosomal RNA (375 nucleotides) under uncultured bacterium. Its description in RNAcentral is "bacterial SSU rRNA". It matches the Rfam family "Bacterial small subunit ribosomal RNA", at positions 523 to 898 of the family's 1533-position model. The record is from RNAcentral.